Molecule: ribosomal RNA, 491 nt
Filed under: uncultured bacterium
Lineage: Bacteria
Description: partial 16S ribosomal RNA
Rfam family: Bacterial small subunit ribosomal RNA
Source: RNAcentral
GUGAACGCUGGCGGUAGGCCUAGCACAUGCAAGUCGAACGGCAGCACAGUAAGGGCUUGCUCUUACGGGUGGCGAGUGGCGGACGGGUGAGGAAUACAUCGGAAUCUACUUUUUCGUGGGGGAUAACGUAGGGAAACUUACGCUAAUACCGCAUACGACCUACGGGUGAAAGCAGGGGAUCUUCGGACCUUGCGCGAUUGAAUGAGCCGAUGUCGGAUUAGCUAGUUGGCGGGGUAAAGGCCCACCAAGGCGACGAUCCGUAGCUGGUCUGAGAGGAUGAUCAGCCACACUGGAACUGAGACACGGUCCAGACUCCUACGGGAGGCAGCAGUGGGGAAUAUUGGACAAUGGGCGCAAGCCUGAUCCAGCCAUACCGCGUGGGUGAAGAAGGCCUUCGGGUUGUAAAGCCCUUUUGUUGGGAAAGAAAAGCAGCAGGUUAAUACCCCGCUGUUCUGACGGUACCCAAAGAAUAAGCACCGGCUAACUUCGUG